AUAGCCAAAGACGAGUUUCAUGCAAUCUUGGAGGAAGAAGAAUUAAGAGGGGCUGUUGUCCUUAUUUUUGCAAACAAGCAGGAUCUUCCAGGUGCACUUGAUGAUGCUGCUGUUACUGAGGCUUUAGAGUUGCACAAGAUAAAAAGCCGUCAAUGGGCAAUUUUCAAAACUUCUGCUAU
This is a long non-coding RNA of Corylus avellana, 179 nucleotides long. RefSeq lists it as uncharacterized. NCBI's taxonomy places the organism in Eukaryota, Viridiplantae, Streptophyta, Magnoliopsida, Fagales, Betulaceae. The record is from RefSeq and is a predicted model, not a curated record.